RNAcentral lists this ribosomal RNA (406 nucleotides) under uncultured bacterium. RNAcentral describes it as "partial 16S ribosomal RNA". It matches the Rfam family "Bacterial small subunit ribosomal RNA", at positions 29 to 526 of the family's 1533-position model. The record is from RNAcentral.
AUUGAACGCUGGCGGCAGGCCUAACACAUGCAAGUCGAGCGAGUGGCGGACGGGUGAGUAAUGUCUGGGAAACUGCCCGUUGGAGGGGGAUAACUACUGGAAACGGUAGCUAAUACCGCAUACCAUCUGAUGUGCCCAGAUGGGAUUGGCUAGUAGGGGGGUUAACGGCUCACCUAGGCGACGAUCCCUAGCUGGUCUGAGAGGAGGACCGGCCACACUGGAACGGAGACACGGUCCAGACUCCUACGGGAGGCAGAAGUGGGGAAUAUUGGACAAGGGGCGAAAGCCUGAGGCGGCAAUGCCGGGUGUAUGAGGAAGGCCUUCGGGUUGUAAAGUACUUUCAGCGGGGAGGCGUUACCCGCAGAAGAAGCACCGGCUAACUACGUGCCAGCAGCCGCGGUAAUUC